ACAUGCAAGUCGAACGGUAACAGGAAGCAGCUUGCUGCUUUGCUGACGAGUGGCGGACGGGUGAGUAAUGUCUGGGAAACUGCCCGAUGGAGGGGGAUAACUACUGGAAACGGUAGCUAAUACCGCAUAAUGUCGCAAGACCAAAGAGGGGGACCUUCGGGCCUCUUGCCAUCGGAUGUGCCCAGAUGGGAUUAGCUAGUUGGUGAGGUAACGGCUCACCAAGGCGACGAUCCCUAGCUGGUCUGAGAGGAUGACCAGCCACACUGGAACUGAGACACGGUCCAGACUCCUACGGGAGGCAGCAGUGGGGAAUAUUGCACAAUGGGCGCAAGCCUGAUGCAGCCAUGCCGCGUGUAUGAAGAAGGCCUUCGGGUUGUAAAGUACUUUCAGCGGGGAGGAAGGGGUUAAGGUUAAUAACCUUAGCCAUUGACGUUACCCGCAGAAGAAGCACCGGCUAACUCCGUGCCAGCAGCCGCGGUAAUACGGAGGGUGCAAGCGUUAAUCGGAAUUACUGGGCGUAAAGCGCACGCAGGCGGUCUGUCAAGUCGGAUGUGAAAUCCCCGGGCUCAACCUGGGAACUGCAUUCGAAACUGGCAGGCUUGAGUCUCGUAGAGGGGGGUAGAAUUCCAGGUGUAGCGGUGAAAUGCGUAGAGAUCUGGAGGAAUACCGGUGGCGAAGGCGGCCCCCUGGACGAAGACUGACGCUCAGGUGCGAAAGCGUGGGGAGCAAACAGGAUUAGAUACCCUGGUAGUCCACGCCGUAAACGAUGUCUAUUUGGAGGUUGUGCCCUUGAGGUGUGGCUUCCGGAGCUAACGCGUUAAAUAGACCGCCUGGGGAGUACGGCCGCAAGGUUAAAACUCAAAUGAAUUGACGGGGGCCCGCACAAGCGGUGGAGCAUGUGGUUUAAUUCGAUGCAACGCGAAGAACCUUACCUGGUCUUGACAUCCACAGAACUUGGCAGAGAUGCCUUGGUGCCUUCGGGAACUGUGAGA
RNAcentral lists this ribosomal RNA (992 nucleotides) under Citrobacter amalonaticus. RNAcentral describes it as "bacterial SSU rRNA". It matches the Rfam family "Bacterial small subunit ribosomal RNA", at positions 53 to 1034 of the family's 1533-position model. The record is from RNAcentral. Lineage: Bacteria; Pseudomonadati; Pseudomonadota; Gammaproteobacteria; Enterobacterales; Enterobacteriaceae.